This 443-nucleotide ribosomal RNA is filed under the name uncultured bacterium. Its description in RNAcentral is "partial 16S ribosomal RNA". It matches the Rfam family "Bacterial small subunit ribosomal RNA", at positions 338 to 795 of the family's 1533-position model. The record is from RNAcentral.
CCUACGGGCGGCAGCAGUGGGGAAUAUUGGGCAAUGGGCGCAAGCCUGACCCAGCAACGCCGCGUGAAGGAAGAAGGCUUUCGGGUUGUAAACUUCUUUUCUCAGGGACGAAACACGUGACGGUACCUGAGGACUAAGCCACCGCUACCUACGUGCCAGCAGCCGCGGUACUACGUAGGUGGCAAGCGUUAUCCGGAUUUACUGGGUGUAAAGGGCGUGUAGGCGGGAAAGCAAGUCAGAUGUGAAAGCCAUGGGCUCAACCUGUGACCUGCAUUUGAAACUGUUUGGCUUGAGUACGGGAGAGGCAGAUGGAAUUCCUAGUGUAGCGGUGAAAUGCGUAGAUAUGAGGAGGAACACCAGUGGCGAAGGCGGUCUGCUGGACAGCAACUGACGCUGAGGCGCGAAAGCGUGGGGAGCAAACAGGAUUAGAUACCCCAGUAGUC